Molecule: long non-coding RNA, 451 nt
Organism: Hippocampus comes (tiger tail seahorse)
Lineage: Eukaryota; Metazoa; Chordata; Actinopteri; Syngnathiformes; Syngnathidae
Exons: 3
Source: RefSeq, a predicted model, not a curated record
AGGGGGAAUGAAAGCAGUGUCAUGUGACUUGUUUCACUUUGCGUUCGUGUGCAGGUGUUCAUUGACCAAACAAACAAAAACAAAGCAGAGCUAAACAUGACUUGCUCAUCUUUUCUUCUUGAUGCACCCUUGGCUGUUGAUAACUCUGAUACAUCUUCUCUCAUGGCCGGUUGUUUUUAUCCCUUUUGUCCCAAACAUUUUAUCUGAUCUCAUUCCCACUGGUGGCAGUGUAUGCACGGAAGUCCAAAAACUCCAUCAAAGGAUGGCGAGCCGCGUCUGCUGAGGACGAGGGGAGGCGGAGUCACUUCGGAAGUAGACUGUUUUCUUUACCAGUGUACAUGUACGUAUGGUUGUUCCCUGCUGCCGUUUACUUGGCCUACGUGCUAACUCCCUUCAUCAAAUCCACUCCAUUGAUUCCCAACACCGGAAGUGUCACUACCCAGGACCAUGC